This is a long non-coding RNA of Lotus japonicus, 1250 nucleotides long. RefSeq lists it as uncharacterized. The transcript is spliced from 8 exons. NCBI's taxonomy places the organism in Eukaryota, Viridiplantae, Streptophyta, Magnoliopsida, Fabales, Fabaceae. The record is from RefSeq and is a predicted model, not a curated record.
UGUUCCAGCCAUUUCAAGUGACAAUUUAUUGAGAGAAAAUUAGGGGUUUGAACGUUCUCUUAUAUUUAAUUGAUUUAGACAUGUAGUUCACCCACUGACAAUUUUCAUUCAGUACCUCCUAUCUGAUGCGAGAGAGAGGACAGGUUAAUUUUACAUUCUCAUUUCUUCUCCUGAUGUAUUUAUGUUUCCUAUCUGCCUAUCGGUUUCCAGAAGCUUUGCCCCAGGAUCUAUUAGCUUUGCUCCAAGCGGUGGUGGGUUGAGGGUUUUGAUUUCGAACAGUGUGCGGAAAACCAUCCAGAACAUCAAGGAGACACGGGUAAGGGAGGAGGAUGAGAUUUAUACGAUGCUCAAGUUCAGUAUUUUCCCUAGUGAGACUGCACAUAAGCUUCUCCUUCAUGCCACCAAUCCUGAAGAUACUAUGAAGCAGUGUAAGUCUUUGUUCCAAGUUAAGUAUUUUCCACAGCUACGUGUUACUGAGAAGAGAUGAGAGCAAUUGUACAAAUGACGCUUAUACUCGGAAGCAAGAGAUUCACUAAUUAGAAAAAAGACUGAAAGACCAAUUUGAGGUCUGAAGCAUGUUGGCUCUUGGAUACAGACCAAGGUUAAAUUAAUUCAUUUAAAAUUUGAGGGUCAUCCUUGCAGAAAUCAGGAGAAUGAAAUAUUCUACAUGGAAACAUCUUCUAAGAGUGCAGAGAACAUUCUUCUCUAUGAAAUAGGUACUUGGAUGUUGUUUGGAACGAACCAGGAAAAUGUCCCACCUUGAUCGGAGAAUCCAUGGGACAACUUUCUUAAUCAUAAAAAUGGAGGAUAACAUGGUGGAGGUUCCAUUUUUUUUGAGAAAUUGGACAUCUUCUAUGUGAGGCUCAAGUGUCAUCUUAAACAUAGACAAAAGGUGAAGUGCUUCUUAUUGUCCUCUUCCGCUCCGGUGAAGUGCUUCGUGGUCCUCUUCCGCUGGUGGGAAGAAUUCUUAAUUAUUUGUCUUCUACGUGUAUUUUCACUUCGACAUCUGAAAGCUUUUGUUGCAUGUUUUGAUUUAGGUGCUUUCCGAAGAAUUUUCGCCUGAAAGUUUUUUGGAUUUUGAUUUUAAAACCGCUUUGUUGUUGUUGUGAAAAUGGAACAUCGUUUAGUGUUUAGUUGAUGUAUAGAAGUUGAGUAUUCAUUUACACUCAUAUUUCUCUUCCAUCUCAUUUCCACAAAUUUCUCUUCCUAUAUCUCUCUUCUAUUCUUAUCAUAUCAUUUAUCAUAUCUCU